Molecule: non-coding RNA, 1998 nt
Organism: Microcebus murinus (gray mouse lemur)
Lineage: Eukaryota; Metazoa; Chordata; Mammalia; Primates; Cheirogaleidae
Source: RefSeq, a predicted model, not a curated record
CUUUACUCACAUGUUUCCUACCAGAUUGUGAGCUUCAGGCUUUUGGUUUGUUUAGCUUUGUGUCCUCAAUGACUGCCAUACACAGGUUAAAUAUUAAAAAAAAAGAUUAAAAAUUAGAAAACAAAAAUAGUAAAUAUUAAAAAACAAAAACAAACUGAGUAGUAGCUGAACAACUUGAUGCAUAAACAAGAUUUCUUUAUACAGAUCCUAUAUAAAAGGCAAAUCUUGGUAUGUAGCUGAAGCUAAUCUUCAUGAUAAUAUCAUGAAGAUUAGCUUUACUAUCAUGAUAGUAAUAAGUAUCUCGCACUUGUAUGGCACUUUGGUAUUUCAAAAGUGCCUCCACAUAAUGUGAUAUCAACUAAAGGAUUUUAUAAUGGAGGGAAGCCUAAUGAAUUGCCCAGAGUCAUGAGGCCAGUAAGUGACAGCUGGGAUAGGAACUGAUUUCUGCUCUAAUAAGUAUUGUUCUCUCAGGAAUUAGAAUGUAUGUAUUAUAUCAGGCAUUGUUAUCAAUGCUGUACAUAUAUUAACUCAUUAAUUAUUAUAACAUUAUAGAUACUGUUAUUGUUCUCAUUUUACAGAUGAGGAAAAUAACCUACCUGAGGCACAGAGAAGUUGAAUAACUUGCCCAAGGUCACACAGGUAAUAAAUGACAGUGCUAGAAUCUGAACCUUGGCAAUCUGGCCUCAGUGUCUUCAAAGCAUUAAUUUUCCAUUUCAGCUUAAUAAUAUACAAAGGCUGCUCACAUAUGCUACUGGGGCCUUCUCACUUGUCUUUGUAUUCCCUUGGCAGCUAACAUAAUAGGUGCUUGAUACAUAUUUUCAGGAUAUUGGCAUUUUUAGUAUAUGUCUCUAACCACUGAAUUCUUUGUCAAAGAUCUCCGCUUCAAGAUCAAAAGACCAAUCUACAUCUCCCUUAAUUAAUUAACAAUUUAUUUAUAUAUGUAUUAUGAGUCUGAGGUUCAUUGAUAUAAUUGUUCAAGAAACUAGUGGGUUUCAGAGCAAAUCUCUGGACUUACUGCAUCUCAACUCUGUGCCAGUCACUGACCUCAUGGGACAUGUCAGCCUGAACAACAACAUGCCUCUACGGUCUUUAAAAUUUGCUUGUAAUUUAGUUAAAAUGAUUCAGAGUUAAUAGUGACAAACAUGAACUAUUGAACUCACUGAUAAGUUGGCUAGUGAUAGGAUCAUUGGUACAGACCAAUAUUUCCCAAGAUCUAUCAGCUGACCAUUUGUAUCAAGUCAUCUGCAAUGCUUGUGUACACACAGUUUCCCGGGCUGCACCUCAGACAUUUUGAACUAGAACCUCUGGAGGUGGGUUUCAAGAAGUUGCAUUUAAAACAGGCUUCCCUAGAGAUUCCUGUGCAUGGUAACACCAUUCUCUGCACCCACUACCUCUGCAGCCGUGUGGGCCAGAAGAAACAGGACACUGCGUAGCACAGCAAGGCCCAAUGGGCACAGGGUAAAGAAAAAAACUGAUGGCGAAGAAGAUGAUGAUGAUGACAGCAGCAAGUAGACAUACAGCACUUACUGUAUGCUAGCCAUGCUUCAGUGCGCUUCACAUAAUAGCAACUCAAUUAAUCCUCACAACAACUCUACGCAGCAUACUAUUAUAAUGCCCUUUUUACAGUAGAGGAAAUUGAGGCAGAGAUUUAGCAACUUGACAAAGUUGCAUAGCUGGUAAGUGGUGGAGCUGGAAUUUGAAGCUAGCGUCUGGCUCUAGAGUUCCUGCUCUUAAUCUCUAUGCUAAGGGAACCAGUGGUUCUCAGAGUGUGGCCUCCGGGUCAGCAGCAUCAGCAUUGUCUGGGAACCUGUAGUAAUGCACAUCCUCUGGUCCUAUCCUAGGCCCACUGGUGGGGCUCAAUUGUGUGCCUCCCCCUUCCAAAUUUGUAUGUUGAAGUCUUAAUAUUCUGUAGAUCAGAAUGUGACUAUUUUUGGAGAUAGGGUCUUUAAAGAGAUAAUUAAGUUAAAAAUGAGGCCAUUAGGAUGGGCCCUAAUCCAA